GCAAUACUCCCUCCGUCCGAAAAUACAUGUCAUAGAAAUUGAUGUAUCUAGAUGUAUUUUUGUUUUAGAUACAUCCAUUUUCAUCCAUUUCGAUGACAAGCAAUUCCGGACGGAGGCAGUACUUA
Triticum aestivum (bread wheat) is the source of this 125-nucleotide non-coding RNA. Lineage: Eukaryota; Viridiplantae; Streptophyta; Magnoliopsida; Poales; Poaceae. The record is from Rfam.